CACGUUGGUCUGAGCUGUAAGCUCUGAGCUGCUUUGUCAGCUGUCAUCACGAUUUACAUUUACAAGUUAUGAUCACAGCUUCAAAGGACAUGAAAAACUCAAUUGCUGCCUAUAGAGUAAUGAAAGUGCCUCAGAGACCAGAUUUAGCCUUCUGAAAACAAAUAGACAAAUGAGGUGAGGAACACGGACUGACCUUUCCCUGGCUGCACAGUCUACAGAGUUUGCAGCGUUAGUAUUAAAAUCUGGAGCUUGCCCUUCUGCAAGG
Molecule: long non-coding RNA, 265 nt
Organism: Nothoprocta perdicaria
Lineage: Eukaryota; Metazoa; Chordata; Aves; Tinamiformes; Tinamidae
Exons: 2
Source: RefSeq, a predicted model, not a curated record